AGAAAUCCUGUCUGAAUAUGGGGGGACCAUCCUCCAAGGCUAAAUACUCAUCAUUGACCGAUAGUGAACUAGUACCGUGAGGGAAAGGCGAAAAGAACCCCGGGAGGGGAGUGAAAUAGAUCCUGAAACCGUGUGCUUACAAAAAGUAGGAGCCCGCAAGGGUGACUGCGUACCUUUUGUAUAAUGGGUCAGCGACUUACAUUCAGUGGCAAGCUUAACCGAAUAGGGAAGGCGUAGGGAAACCGAGUCCGAAUAGAGCGAUUCAGUCGCUGGGUGUAGACCCGAAACCAAGUGAUCUAUCCAUGGCCAGGAUGAAGGUGCCGUAACAGGUACUGGAGGUCCGAACCGACUAGUGUUGCAAAACUAGCGGAUGAGCUGUGGAUAGGGGUGAAAGGCUAAACAAACUUGGAAAUAGCUGGUUCUCUCCGAAAACUAUUUAGGUAGUGCCUCAAGUAUUACCGUCGGGGGUAGAGCACUGUUUUGGCUAGGGGGUCAUGGCGACUUACCAAACCAAGGCAAACUCCGAAUACCGACGAGUACAGCUUGGGAGACAGAGCACCGGGUGCUAACGUCCGGACUCAAGAGGGAAACAACCCAGACCGCCAGCUAAGGUCCCUAAAAUUGGCUAAGUGGGAAACGAAGUGGGAAGGCUAAAACAGUCAGGAUGUUGGCUUAGAAGCAGCCAUCAUUUAAAGAAAGCGUAAUAGCUCACUGAUCGAGUCGUCCUGCGCGGAAGAUGUAACGGGGCUAAGCCAGUUACCGAAGCUGCGGAUUUGCAAUUUAUUGCAAGUGGUAGGAGAGCGUUCUGUAAGCCUGUGAAGGUGUGUUGUAAAGCACGCUGGAGGUAUCAGAAGUGCGAAUGCUGACAUGAGUAGCGUUAAAGCGGGUGAAAAGCCCGCUCGCCGUAAGCGCAAGGUUUUCUACGCAACGUUCAUCGGCGUAGAGUGAGUCGGCCCCUAAGGCGAGGCAGAGAUGCGUAGCUGAUGGGAAACAGGUCAAUAUUCCUGUACCGAUGUGUAGUGCGAUGUGGGGACGGAGAAGGUUAGCUCAGCCAACUGUUGGAUAUGUUGGUUCAAGCCUGUAGUCGUGCCUGGUAGGUAAAUCCACCGGGCUUAGAUGAGGGGUGAUAACGAGGCUGCUUGCAGCCGAAGUGAGUGAUACCCUGCUUCCAGGAAAAGCCACUAAGCUUCAGCUACACACGACCGUACCGCAAACCGACACUGGUGCGCGAGAUGAGUAUUCUAAGGCGCUUGAGAGAACUCAGGAGAAGGAGCUCGGCAAAUUGACACCGUAACUUCGGAAGAAGGUGUGCCUUUAGUAGGUGAACCUGUACAAGGGGAGCCCAAUGAGGUUGCAAAAAAUCGGUGGCUGCGACUGUUUAAUAAAAACACAGCACUCUGCAAACACGAAAGUGGACGUAUAGGGUGUGACGCCUGCCCGGUGCUGGAAGAUUAAAUGAUGGGGUGCAAGCUCUUGAUUGAAGUCCCAGUAAACGGCGGCCGUAACUAUAACGGUCCUAAGGUAGCGAAAUUCCUUGUCGGGUAAGUUCCGACCUGCACGAAUGGCGUAACGAUGGCCACACUGUCUCCUCCUGAGACUCAGCGAAGUCG
This 1610-nucleotide ribosomal RNA is filed under the name metagenome. Its description in RNAcentral is "bacterial LSU rRNA". It matches the Rfam family "Bacterial large subunit ribosomal RNA", at positions 427 to 2044 of the family's 2925-position model. The record is from RNAcentral.